UUUAGAUGGCGACCGGCGCACGGGUGAGUAACAACGUAUCCAACCUNCCGAUGACUCGGGGAUAGCCUUUCGAAAGAAAGAUUAAUACCCGAUGGCAUAGUUCUUCCGCAUGGUAGAACUAUUAAAGAAUUUCGGUCAUCGAUGGGGAUGCGUUCCAUUAGGUUGUUGGCGGGGUAACGGCCCACCAAGCCUUCGAUGGAUAGGGGUUCUGAGAGGAAGGUCCCCCCACAUUGGAACUGAGACACGGUCCAAACUCCUACGGGAGGCAGCAUG
RNAcentral lists this ribosomal RNA (273 nucleotides) under uncultured bacterium. RNAcentral describes it as "partial 16S ribosomal RNA". It matches the Rfam family "Bacterial small subunit ribosomal RNA", at positions 83 to 353 of the family's 1533-position model. The record is from RNAcentral.